Molecule: ribosomal RNA, 253 nt
Filed under: uncultured bacterium
Lineage: Bacteria
Description: partial 16S ribosomal RNA
Rfam family: Bacterial small subunit ribosomal RNA
Source: RNAcentral
UACGAAGGGGGCUAGCGUUGUUCGGAAUCACUGGGCGUAAAGGGCGCGUAGGCGGCCUGAUAAGUCGGGGGUGAAAGCCUGUGGCUCAACCACAGAAUUGCCUUCGAUACUGUUAGGCUUGAGACCGGAAGAGGUAAGUGGAACUGCGCGUGUAGAGGUGAAAUUCGUAGAUAUUCGCAAGAACACCAGUGGCGAAGGCGGCUCACUGGUCCGGUUCUGACGCUGAGGCGCGAAAGCGUGGGGAGCAAACAGG